RNAcentral lists this transfer RNA (26 nucleotides) under Delphinus delphis (saddleback dolphin). RNAcentral's name for it is "partial tRNA-Thr". RNAcentral also lists the same sequence under 1 other name. Lineage: Eukaryota; Metazoa; Chordata; Mammalia; Artiodactyla; Delphinidae. The record is from RNAcentral.
GGAGAACCCCAUUCCUCCCUAAGACU